CCUACGGGAGGCUGCAGUGAGGAAUAUUGGUCAAUGGCCGGAAGGCUGAACCAGCCAAGCCGCGUGAAGGACGAAGGUGCCAAGCAUUGUAAACUUCUUUUAUAUGGGAAUAAAGUGAGGAACGUGUUCCUUUUUGUAUGUACCAUAUGAAUAAGCAUCGGCUAACUCCGUGCCAGCAGCCGCGGUAAUACGGGGGAUGCAAGCGUUAUCCGGAUUUAUUGGGUUUAAAGGGUGCGUAGGCUGUGAGGUAAGUCAGCGGUGAAAUGCCCCCGCUCAACGGGGUGAAGUGCCAUUGAUACUGGCUUGCUGGAAUGCGGAUGCGGUGGGAGGAAUGUGUGGUGUAGCGGUGAAAUGCAUAGAUAUCACACAGAACACCGAUUGCGAAGGCAUCUCACGAAUCCGCGAUUGACGCUGAUGCACGAAAGCGUGGGUAUCAAACAGGAUUAGAUACCCCUGUAGUC
RNAcentral lists this ribosomal RNA (461 nucleotides) under uncultured bacterium. RNAcentral describes it as "partial 16S ribosomal RNA". It matches the Rfam family "Bacterial small subunit ribosomal RNA", at positions 338 to 795 of the family's 1533-position model. The record is from RNAcentral.